Molecule: long non-coding RNA, 1299 nt
Filed under: Mus spicilegus (steppe mouse)
Lineage: Eukaryota; Metazoa; Chordata; Mammalia; Rodentia; Muridae
Description: lncRNA (ENSMSIG00000020599.1)
Source: RNAcentral
CUAAUGUAUAACUUUUGCUUUUAUGAACUACAACAUUUUUGAAGCAAAUCUCCUUGUUAAAGCUACUACAGCCUCAUAUGCUUACAAGGAAAGAUCAUAUAUACUCUGUGGAUUGACAAACUAGUUAAGUUUUUAUUAGGAACAGUCAAUAUCCAGUGAUUCAAAUUCAGGUUAAAGGCAUCCAGUUUACAGGAUCAUUAGAAUGUGAAGCAAAUUCCUUCAGAUGUAUGCCUUUAAACUGCUACACAAACGCAUCACAGCAAUGUUCAGGUUGUAGCUGAAAAAUUUCCAGUGCACUGCUGGGGCUUGAACUCUAUGCAUUUUAGGUAAGCACACUAAAGUCAAUUUGUUGUUGAGGCUACUGCCAAAAACAUAGUCUGCUUGAAAACAGAAUAUAUCACUGAUCAUCUCAUGUUGGAAUCCCCUCCUUGUGCAGAUAAUUACCACGUAUGCGAAGCUGCUUCAUUCUGUAAUAAGGAAGGUGGGCCUGGAUUACCACAAAAGAGGAAAACUCCUGCAGAAAAUGUUGUCAGAACCUGUAUUCUUAAGAGAUGUUCUCAGGAAUCUACGGUAAACUUCACAACUUGGAAAUGCAUUUUUCCAUGAGUGAAUCUAUGAAAGUUGUUUCAGAAUUUAAAGUUCAGUGACACAGUGGUUACUCAACCUACCUUUGGCAACUUGUUAUGGAAAACUUGAAGGAGGACUGGCAAGUUGGCUCAGCAGGUAAAGCUGUUUGCCACCCAAAUCUGACCUCCUGUAUUCUGUCAUCAAAUUUAACUGUGACACAGAAGGACUAACUUCAGAGAGUUGACCUCUGAACUUCCCACUCAUGCUGCGGGUUUUGUGUGCCAACACUCACACACAUAGCUGCCUACUUCAGUCAAUGCCAGUGUGCUUUUAGAGCUAACAUCUUGCUACAUCUGUGAAGGUUUCUUUUAUUUGCUGCCUUGAAGUCUUCAAGCUGUCUUAUCGAACACUGAAGAGCAUUUUCAUACAGAAAUUCAAGAAUAAGUUUCAGUUAUUAAACAAUGAAUCUCUGAAAAUCAGGACAUGAUUUGAAUUAGGUACUUUCUCUUAUGCCUUUUACAGUUAUGUGUGUUUGUUGGCCUCUGCCACAUCCACUGUCAUCAGGUCUGACUGCAAGCACAUUCACCAAUUAUUUUACAUAGGGUGUCUAUGUCACUAAUUAAACACCAUGACCAAAAGCAACCUGGGAAGAAAAAGGUUUAUUAAUUACUCUUAAGUAUCCUGAGUCACAGUCCAUUGAGGGAAACCAAGGCAAGGACUCAAAAAGGGAAG